UCCGGUUUGGCACCGGCGGUCUCCCAUGAGUCCCCGGCAUUACCCGCUGGCAACAUAGGACAGGGGUUGCGCUCGCUGCGGGACUUAACCCAACAUCUCACGACACGAGCUGACGACGGCCAUGCACCACCUGUGUGGAACCCCGAAGGACACCGUAUCUCUACGGCUUUUCUCCACAUGUCAAGCCUUGGUAAGGUUCUUCGCGUUGCAUCGAAUUAAGCAACAUGCUCCGCCGCUUGUGCGGGCCCCCGUCAAUUCCUUUGAGUUUUAACCUUGCGGCCGUACUCCCCAGGCGGUCAACUUCACGCGUUAGCUUCGUUACCAAGGGAAUCAAUCCCCCGACAACCAGUUGACAUAGUUUAGGGCGUGGACUAC
Molecule: unclassified non-coding RNA, 375 nt
Filed under: uncultured bacterium
Lineage: Bacteria
Description: contains 16S-23S intergenic spacer region
Source: RNAcentral